AGAAGAACUCCGCCUGGGGAUACGGUCGCAGACUAAAACUCAAAGGAAUUGACGGGGACCCGCACAAGCGGUGGAGCAUGUGGUUUAAUUCGAUGCAACGCGAAAAACCUUACCACUUCUUGACAUGGAGGUUAGAUCUUUCUUAACAGAAAGGCGCAGUUCGGCUGGACCUCACACAGGUGCUGCAUGGCUGUCGUCAGCUCGUGUCGUGAGAUGUUGGGUUAAGUCCCGCAACGAGCGUAACCCUCAUCCUUAGUUACCAGCGGGUAAUGCCGGGCACUUUAAGGAAACUGCCGGUGAUAAACCGGAGGAAGGUGGGGAUGAUGUCAAGUCAGCACGGCCCUUAUGGGGUGGGCUACACACGUGCUACAAUGGCGACCACAAUAGGUUGCAAUGGUCGCAAGA
RNAcentral lists this ribosomal RNA (405 nucleotides) under Anaplasma sp. Its description in RNAcentral is "bacterial SSU rRNA". It matches the Rfam family "Bacterial small subunit ribosomal RNA", at positions 860 to 1262 of the family's 1533-position model. The record is from RNAcentral. Lineage: Bacteria; Pseudomonadati; Pseudomonadota; Alphaproteobacteria; Rickettsiales; Anaplasmataceae.